UUUAGGUAGAAACAUUCAGAGUUUAAUCAACCUUGUUUGAUCUGACAUUAUUAAUCAUGAAGUUCUUCGCUGUUCUCCUCUUGGCUUUUGCUGCCGCCUCAGCAACAACUAUGGAAGCAUAUAAGUACACCAACCGCAAUGGUGAUCAAUGUGUUUGUGUGGCUCCUCCUCCAGAACUUGAAGAACCAGAAAUAAUUCCUAAUAUUCCUGAUGAGAUUGCUGACGUUGGUUGUGCUCCUGAUGCCAGUGUUGCUGAAACGUUGAUUGCUCGCAAACAAAAUCUCGAAGAAUUGCUCGAACAAUUGCGCAAACACCAGCGCAAACACCUGCGCAAACACCAUCUCUAAACUCUAAACGUUUUGAUGCAAUGAUAUCUGAAAAUCUGAAUCUGAGAUUUGAAAUAAAUCGAUUUAAACUUUA
This is a long non-coding RNA of Dalotia coriaria, 420 nucleotides long. RefSeq lists it as uncharacterized. NCBI's taxonomy places the organism in Eukaryota, Metazoa, Arthropoda, Insecta, Coleoptera, Staphylinidae. The record is from RefSeq and is a predicted model, not a curated record. The transcript has 2 exons.